CCCUUAGAUGUCCGGGGCCGCACGCGCGCUACACUGAAGGAAUCAGCGUGGCUUUCUCCCUGACCCGAAAGGGUUGGGAAACCCGUUGAAUCUCCUUCGUGAUAGGGAUUGGGGCUUGAAAUUGUUCCCCAUGAACGAGGAAUUCCCAGUAAGCGCGAGUCAUAAGCUCGCGUUGAUUACGUCCCUGCCCUUUGUACACACCGCCCGUCGCUACUACCGAUUGAACGGUUUAGUGAGGGGCUCGGAUUGGUCUCGGCCCGCUCUUUACCGGGCGGCGCCGUUGGUCGAGAAGACGCUCGAACUUGAUCGUUUAGAGGAAGUAAAAGUCGUAACA
RNAcentral lists this ribosomal RNA (334 nucleotides) under uncultured eukaryote. RNAcentral describes it as "partial 18S ribosomal RNA". It matches the Rfam family "Eukaryotic small subunit ribosomal RNA", at positions 1470 to 1796 of the family's 1831-position model. The record is from RNAcentral.